AGCCCAUGGUGAGGGCACCUUCUCAAUAGAUAUUUGUAUCUUUCCCAUGCAUCAUAAAGUGUUUCUAAAUCCAUCUGCACAAAAGAAGAGAUAUCAUUCCAUAAUUU
Small nucleolar RNA from Gossypium arboreum, 107 nucleotides. It matches the Rfam family "Plant small nucleolar RNA R71". From Rfam's summary of the family: R71 is a member of the C/D box family of snoRNAs containing the C (UGAUGA) and D (CUGA) box motifs. Multiple nearly identical copies of this snoRNA have been identified in Arabidopsis, and it is thought to function as a 2'-O-ribose methylation guide for 18S ribosomal RNA. The record is from Rfam. Lineage: Eukaryota; Viridiplantae; Streptophyta; Magnoliopsida; Malvales; Malvaceae.